AACGAACGCUAUCGGUAUGCUUAACACAUGCAAGUUGAACGGAUUAUUUAGGGCUUGCUCUAAAUAAUUAGUAGCAAACGGGUGAGUAACACGUGGGAAUCUACCCAUCAGUACGGAAUAACACUUAGAAAUAAAUGCUAAUACCGUAUAUUCUCUUAGGAGGAAAGAUUUAUCGCUGAUGGAUGAGCCCGCGUCAGAUUAGGUAGUUGGUAGGGUAAUGGCCUACCAAGCCAACGAUCUGUAGCUGGUCUGAGAGGAUGAUCAGCCACACUGGGACUGAGACACGGCCCAGACUCCUACGGGAGGCAGCAGUGGGGAAUAUUGGACAAUGGGCGAAAGCCUGAUCCAGCAAUACCGAGUGGGUGAUGAAGGCCUUAGGGUUGUAAAGCUCUUUUGUCAGGGAGCAAAACCUACAGACUAAUACUCUGUGGGGAUGAGAGUACCUGAAGAAUAAGCACCGGCUAACUACGUGCCAGCAGCCGCGGUAAGG
Molecule: ribosomal RNA, 490 nt
Filed under: uncultured bacterium
Lineage: Bacteria
Description: bacterial SSU rRNA
Rfam family: Bacterial small subunit ribosomal RNA
Source: RNAcentral